AGUGAACGCUGGCGGUAGGCCUAACACAUGCAAGUCGAACGGCAGCACAGUAAGAGCUUGCUCUUACGGGUGGCGAGUGGCGGACGGGUGAGGAAUACAUCGGAAUCUACUUUUUCGUGGGGGAUAACGUAGGGAAACUUACGCUAAUACCGCAUACGACCUACGGGUGAAAGCAGGGGAUCUUCGGACCUUGCGCGAUUGAAUGAGCCGAUGUCGGAUUAGCUAGUUGGCGGGGUAAAGGCCCACCAAGGCGACGAUCCGUAGCUGGUCUGAGAGGAUGAUCAGCCAAAAUGGAACUGAGACACGGUCCAGACUCCUACGGGAGGCAGCAGUGGGGAAUAUUGGACAAUGGGCGCAAGCCUGAUCCAGCCAUACCGCGGGGGUGAAGAAGGCCUUCGGGUGGUAAAGCCCUUUUGUUGGGAAAGAAAAGCAGCAGGUUAAUACCCCGCUGUUCUGACGGUACCAAAAGAAUAAGCACCGGCUAACUUCGU
This 491-nucleotide ribosomal RNA is filed under the name uncultured bacterium. RNAcentral's name for it is "partial 16S ribosomal RNA". It matches the Rfam family "Bacterial small subunit ribosomal RNA", at positions 29 to 506 of the family's 1533-position model. The record is from RNAcentral.